Oxyura jamaicensis (ruddy duck) is the source of this 776-nucleotide long non-coding RNA. RefSeq lists it as uncharacterized. Lineage: Eukaryota; Metazoa; Chordata; Aves; Anseriformes; Anatidae. The record is from RefSeq and is a predicted model, not a curated record. The transcript is spliced from 4 exons.
AGCCUACAGGAAGACUGGUUUGUCAUGUUGUGCUGUUAACACAGGCUUGCAAGGCAGCCCAUCAGCUGUCCCUGUUCUGCUGGUGCUGUUAUAAGGAAGAGCUGCCAGAGAAGACACCCAGCUUCUGUGCUUUUUAUUGAGUCCUUGGGAAUAACAAGCAUGGUGUGUUCAGCGGUGCCAGAGAAGACUGUGGGAAUGGGAAACUCGAUGGAUCUGGGGGCAGGAAGAAUGUGAAGCUGCUGGAUUUUCUGGGAAAGUGUGCAUGAAAUCAAUGGGCUGUUGUGGGGGAAAGAAGGAAGAAUUUCUAAUUCAUAUAUUUGUUCUCUGAUAGGGAAAUAUAAUACUGGUAGAUUUGCUUUUGAGAGAGAGAAGGAAAACAAAACAAAACAAAACUAUUUGAGAAGAAGGUUACUUGCAUGACCAGAAAAUGACUGAGGGAACCCCAUUUAAAAGGACUGGAUACAUAAGCCUGAACUAAUGAACUAGGAACUGCUGUUGCAACAAUGCAAAGAAUUUCUGAAGGAAAGGCAGAGGGAACCUUGGAAAACCAACAAGAUGAUGGGCCCUGGGACCACCAGAGACCUGAGUUGGAGGACCAUGACUGUAGUAAUGAUAAUCUCCCAGCCAGGUCUGAGACUGUGGGGAAUUUACUGCUCUAGCUGGAUGCAUAAAUGGAUGAACAUCUGCCUGAUGGAGGAAAACAAUAAUCUACUUCCUGGCCUGCUUGAAUUAUUGGGUGGAAGAGAAGUUAACUCCCUCUCCAAGUUCCAUGCAGG